AAGUCGGAGGAAGUGGGAUGACGUCAAAUCAUCAUGCCCUUAUGACCUGGGCUACACACGUGCUACAAUGGGCGGUACAAAGGGCUGCGAACCCGCGAGGGGGAGCGAAUCCCAAAAAGCCGCUCUCAGUUCGGAUUGCAGGCUGCAACUCGCCUGCAUGAAGCCGGAAUCGCUAGUAAUCGCGGAUCAGCAUGCCGCGGUGAAUACGUUCCCGGGCCUU
This 220-nucleotide ribosomal RNA is filed under the name uncultured Geobacillus sp. RNAcentral's name for it is "partial 16S ribosomal RNA". It matches the Rfam family "Bacterial small subunit ribosomal RNA", at positions 1160 to 1382 of the family's 1533-position model. The record is from RNAcentral. Lineage: Bacteria; Bacillati; Bacillota; Bacilli; Caryophanales; Anoxybacillaceae.